Molecule: long non-coding RNA, 17479 nt
Filed under: Lynx pardinus (Iberian lynx)
Lineage: Eukaryota; Metazoa; Chordata; Mammalia; Carnivora; Felidae
Source: RNAcentral
AUGCCCCCAGCUGAAGUUGAAGGUGGUGGUGUCUUAUGUCCUCAUCACGGGAGGAAUGCUUUAUGACGUUAUUGUUAAACUUCAAAGUAUUGGCUCUAUGACCGAUGAACAUGGACAUCAGAGGCCAGUAGCUUUCUUGGCCCACAGAGUAAAUGGACAAUAUAUUAUGGAAGGACUCACAUCUAACUUCCUAUUUACAGCAGGAGGUUUAGGAUUCAUAAUCCUGGACCGAUCAAAUGCACCAGACAUUCCAAACCUCAGUAAGAUUUCUCCUUCUAUUCAUUGGAUUCGUCUGUGUCCUGUUGAGUGUUUUCAUGGCUAGGGUAUUCAUGAGAAUGAAACUGCCAGGCUAUCUGAUGGAUUCAAAUGCCUUUUGAGAAGAGAUCAGUGGAUAUUGGAUUUGCUCCUGUUAAUGAAGUUUUAAAGGCUGUACCAAUCCUGUGAUGUGAACUAUGGAAAAGAAUGAAAAGCGGCAGAAAAGAAGCAUCUAGUGAAAACAUAGGAAGCAUGUUAAAGCUUGAACUAGAAUGUCUUCUUGGUCUCAAAGAGACAAACUUAUCACAGUAUUUUCUCCCUCUGGCCUUUACUGACCUACCACUGAUGUUAAGUGGCAUUUUCUUCUUAGUUUUUCAUUUCUUAGAGAAAAUAUACUCCAUUUCCACAACUAUAAUAUUGAAUAAAGUGAUUACUUUUUACAGCUCCCUUAAUGUGUUUUGGAAAUGACAUUUCUGACUUUCAAAAAUUAAUGUAAAAUCACGAAGCAAGAUCCCAUGGGCUGAGAGAACUCUGCAGAGAUGAUCAGCUUUACUUAUGAUGCUUUGCCUUUAAACAGUACAUUAUUUCAGAUAUGUAUGCCAGACUGUUUCAUGCACAAUAAGAUGUAUGAAAGAAGCAGAAAUAAAUAAUGUUUCUAAUUAAAAAAAAAAAAGGCCUGUCCCUUUCAGUGUCUUGAAACUGACCCAAGCCCCUGGCUUCAAAUAGACUUUAAAAGGUGGUUGGAAAGAGUCCAAUAUAUCAUUGCUUAAAACUUCCCACAUAAAGGCAAAACCAAGGUCUUCACUUUUAAAAAUAGUGACCUGAAUCCAUAAAGGGCAAAAGAUCCACUUUGAGAUCAUUUUUCACCUUGGUUGGCUAUGGAGCGUCUGUGUGUACAUUCUCGCUAACAAGCUGAUUUGCCUUGUGUUACAAAUUGCUCGAUCCAGCAGGGCCUGUAGAGAACAGUGCACACACACGUGCUCAUUGGUUGGCAUAUCUGGAAGAACUUCGUGACGCUGGGCUUUUAAAUUCAGAGAAAUGCGUUGUUGCAUUCACAGGCAGCAAUUUUGGGACUGGGAGAGAAGUGAGUGGGUCUUCUGGAUCCCUCCACCUGAAGUGUGAGAAGCCUGCUUGCUGGCACUGGAAAGUCAUCAUCUACACUGAUGAUUCACUCUUCCUUUGAGACACUGGAUAUCCCAGUUUGACAGUUCGUCCUCACUCAGUGAUCACAAUGAUCACAACAUGUACCAGAGAGGGUCGCCCCUUCCCUCUCUCCGCCACCCUCACACAUGACCUUGUCAUACAGCCUGGAAAAAAGGAGUGCCCUCUACAAACACCUCUUCUGUUUUAUGAUCCAUACACUGUGAGAACCAGCUUUUAAGAAAUCUGAUAAUAAAAAUACAACCAUGCCCUGCUCCAGUGGGACCCAGGCUACUUUGUCCAUCGACAGCAUAGGAUUUGGUGACUCCACCCAGCAGUCAGUGCUUCUAUCAGAAAAGCAACUUUGGAGAUUUCUCUCAAUGACAUGAAAAGUAGCCUUGCAGAGGAUCAAAAAAGGGAAGGACAGGGACAUAGAUUUAGUAAAUCCUGAGUUGCAGGGAUUUCAACCGUCAAAGGCCAAGUCAACUUUUUUGCAUAGUAACUGUAGGCCUGGAGCUGUAAGGACGGAGACUUUCUCAGGACAUAGGCCUCCUGGCCCUAGCUAACUGGGGCAGCUGUCUGCUGGUCUUUUCCUCUUUAACCCAUGGGAAGUGAGGCAGUCUGCCUGUGCUGACUGGUCUCCCAGCUGCCCAGGCAGAGGCGUCACGGGAGAGCAAAAGCAAGUGAAAAGACUGUCACUCAGCCACAGUAGCUGCUGGAACACAGGCUUGCAGCCUUGCCUGCAUUCCCCCUCCCCCCCCCCCCCCCCCCCCCCCCCCCCCCCUCCCNCCCCCAGCAGCCGCAGGCCAGCGCUUUCCUUCCUCUUGCCUCUGAUUUGCAAAUUUACAAGUCAGGAACAUUCCUGGGGUGGGGGUGGGAUGGUUAUGAACUCCCUAGCCCAAGGAGAGAGAGCAGGAGCAAAGUUUCCAGGUCAUUUAUAGCAGUUCCUUGACGUCGAGGAAAGGGAAGGAAAGGAUUUUGACAAAUACCUUGAACUAAAAAUGGGGAAAUUAAAAAAAAGGGGGGGCUUAUAAAGGUUAGGAUACUUCUUUGCUUCCUUGUUUCACAUGAGCAGCCACUGAGAAGUCAGCUGGCUUCCAGUGUCUUCUAUAAUUGAGGACUGGAGUGACAUGGAUAAAUGAACGUCACAGAUAAUCCGCAAAGCUCAUUCUUAUCCAUUAGCUUCAGCCUCUUCCCUCUCUGGGUCUUCUAUCCCAGCUCCUGAUAAGAAGAAAAGCAAGUAAGGCUUGUCCUCUGAUGAGGGUGUGAAGGCACAGGAAGGAAGCCAAGGUUCAGAAGGACUCUCGGGGGACUGGACAAAAGGCCUGUGGGUGUGCUGGGUUUCUUCACACGGAGGGGAACGACUCCCAGCUGGCGAACUGGGCGGGACAAUCUAAUCCAGUCCAGUUCCUUUACAGAAGGGCUAGCUGAGGCUCCAUUGUAGAGGAGGUGGAACUUUCCUUCUAGCCUCUCAGGGUCAGGCUGGGUCCGAGAAUUAAGUUGACAUUAAGACAUUAAUGAGAGAAGAGCAUACAGAUUUUAUUAUUACAUGCUCAUGGGAGCCUUCAUGGGAAAAUGAAGACCCAAAAAGUGGUUGGGCCCAAGUGCUUAUGUGCCACAUUGGACAAAGAGUAUUAAUUGUGAGAGAGUGCCAAAAAUAUAUGGGGAUGCUAAAGGAAGCUAAGAGUUACUUGAACAAGGUUUGUUUGCACUGAUUCUCUUGGUGCCUUCUCCCUAUCUCUGGUGAGAAGAAUGUUUCUUUCCUCCUGAUAUAGAGAAGGCAGCUCUCACAUCAGAGUUUCAUCUCUUGCUUUUAGGGAGAAAAAGGGAGAUCAGAGGGCCCUUUUUGCAUCUGCUGUUUUCAAGUGCUUUAUUUAUUUAUUUAUUUAUUUAUUUAAAAUAAGCUCUACCCAGAAGGUGAGGCUUGAAUACAUGACUUGGAGAUCAAGAGUCACAUGCUCAGGGCACCUGGCUGGCUCAGUCGGUAGAUCAUGUGACUCUAGGUAACACACCAAGUUAGGUCAUGAGUUACAAUUUGAAAUCUUGCCAUUUGUGACAAUAUGGAUGCAACUUGAGAACAUUAUGCUAAUUGAAAUGUGAGACAGAGAAACACAAACACCAUAUGAUCUCUCUUACAUGUACAAUCUAAGAAAAAAAACCCAAUGAACUCAUAGAUAACAGAGAACAGAUUGGUGGGGCAUGGGGGUUGACAAAAUGGUGAAGGUAGUCAAAUGAUAUAUACUUCUAGUUAUAAAAUAAAUAUCAUGGGGAUGUACAGUAUGGUGACUAUAACUAAGAAUAUUGUAUAUCAUAUUUGAAAAGUUGCUAAGAAAGUAGAUCUUAAAAGUUCUCAUAAGAAAAAAAUUUCUAACUACAAAUGGUGAAAGAUGUUAACAAGACUUAUUACUGUGGUGAUCCUUUUGGAGUAUACACAGACUUAGCCAGCCGGGUGCCCCCCUCCUUUUUUUUGCAAUAUAUACAAAUAUCAAAUCAUUAUGUUGUACACUUGAAAUGAAUAUUGUGUUGUAUGUCAAUUAUACCUCAAUUAAAAAAAGGGAGGAGAAUUCAAACUGAAAUCUUGAACUCCAGUCCAGUGCUAUUUCUACUACACCACCAAGCCAAAGCUUUUUACAGUACUUUCUUUCAUUAAAUUGUUUUUCAUGGAUUAAGUUCACUUUUGUUGUUUCAUUAUAUUUUGAAAAUAAAUGAAACACAUGCAUGUUUUUUUUGUUUUGUUUUUUUACCAAGAACAUUCUUUUCAGCCUCAGUCUGUGUUCUCUCACUCAGACUCAAUUAUUUCCCCCUCACUUUUGACCUCCCAGAUUCCAAAAAGGAUGGGCACAACUUGAGAGGUGUUUCAAAUCCCAAAUCAGGCACGUUCCUAUCUCUGUUGCUGUUGGUGACCAUUAGGGCUUGGUGGAACCUUAGCCAGAGUCUGGUUUCAUCCUCUCUCUUUGUAGAGGAGAAAACUGGAUCCAGAAAGACUGGUUUUCUCAAGGCCACACAGCCGGCUAGUAGAACACUUGAGUUGACUCUGCCAUAUCAGGCUAGCUCCAUGUAGCUGCCAUGACAUACAUGGAUCUCUUCCCCUUGUCUCCCCUCACCGGGAUGCAUGGGUGGAUGCUUCUGAAAUAGGCCUUGUAGGACACGGGAGAUCAAGGGCAGGACCAACCUCUCUAAGGCCACCUUGGAUAGUCUAGGGAAACACCACCCCCUUAGAUGCUACUAAGAGCUGCAGGGAAUGUUAAUAUGGAAGACUCUAGAGUGAUCUAACCUUCAUCUAGCCACUCUGUCAACAAAAUCAUCCCAAUCCUCAUUCAUUGGCACUAUUGCAGAUAUAUAUGUGGCACUCAGGUUCAGAGGAGUGAGGUUCUGGAUUUCUUUUGACCACCUGGGGAAUGUCCUCCUUUUGUGAGAAGAUUUCAAACAGUUUUUCCAAAUGUAGCCUUUUCUAUUAAUGGACAAGCAAUUAAGUUUAGUACAUUUAAGGGGUCAAAGAUUCACAGAAAUACUUCUAAUUGAGGUCAUUUUAGGUCUUGGGAUACAGUCACACUCUAUCAAUACUCCAUACAAGGUCUCAGCAAUGUGUGGCUGCAAUAUGAAGCAGAUAGAAAACACACAGUCAUAUUCAAAGGGUCCAAUGGCUGGAAUCCCACUCAACUGCAGGAAGGCUCAGAAGUCUGUAUCUGAUGGCAGGGGCACAGGUGCUUCAAGGCCAAAGGGCAGCACGAGGGAAAAGUUGGGGGGCAGGACUAGAGGGAGAGAUGAGCCCAUCGCCCGUGCCCCUGGUCAUCACUACUGGGGCCUGGUGGGGUCAGGGAAGGAAGAUGUCCUUCAUGUUCUUUUGGGUGACAGGUAGGAAUAAAGGUUCCCAUUUGUCAGCUGGAAGCAAUACAAAUGACAGUGUUGGUGAGUGAGAAGUGGGGAACGACACCACUGAGGGUUAAGCAUUCCAAAAAAAAAAAAAAUAGUCAAUUUUCCCUCUGGCAUAAGGCUGAUGGGAAACAGGAGGCCUGGUCUUAGGGGUGUUGUUAGUCCAGUGCUCGAAUCAAAUGGGAAUCACGUGCUUAUCAUGGAGCUUCAGGUACCCCUGAGAGAACAUCCUCUGCACAACAUUUAAGUACCUGGUCAAGAACACCAAUGAAUUAAUAAUCAUUUAUUGUAAAUCACUCAUAGUGUACACAUUAUUAAUGGCAAAUAAACACCUGCUGGAUGAAGAACUUCAUUGUGACAAUUUCCAUUUGGCAUCACUUCUUUUUCAAACAUUUUAAAUUAAAAUUCCAAAUUCCCACCUUUCCCGAAAAGAUCUAUCUUCGAAGUGCUCCAACAUCUUUCUUUUGCUCUAACAACUAAAACAAAGGGCACGCGGUCCCAUUAAUUCAACAUGCUCUUUACAAGGCAACUUAACACACAACAUUUUUUUUACUUCAGAAGCUACAUAAUGAUCACUUUAUAUUUUGCUGCAAAAUCAAUGAAGGCUGCAUGCAGGGGAAACAUUAGUACACACUGAGUUCUAGAUAACUGUCGGUUAUUAAGAUCUGAUGGCCUAGUGUGGAAAAUUAAUAUGCUUAUUUAGCAGUAGUAGCUAAAGUACAUGCAUCAGUGGCUGGGAUCAAUUAGAAUAUAAAUUAGAUGCUUAAACAUUUAAAUGAGAGCUUAAUUUGAGCUUAAUUUUAUGUCUGGCACAUCUGCGUUAUACACCUUUAAAAUGACAAUAGCAAAGAGAACGGAAUCAAACACCUAAACAGGCACUGAUUUAUAGGGUCGGCUGGCCAUAAUCGGGACACAAAACUAGCCGGGCAGUGAACAGAUCUCUUUGGAAGCAAAGACAGUGGAACAUUAACAAGCUGUAAACAGGGCAAGAAAAUAAGAGGGCCAUUUGCUGUCAUUUUUGAAAGUUUUCAAUUCUCUUAUUUAAAUUUUUUUUAAUGUUUAUUUUAUUUAUUUUUGAGACAGAGAGAGACAGAGCAUGAACGGGGGAGGGGCAGAGAGAGAGGGAGACACAGAAUCGGAAGCAGGCUCCAGGCUCUGAGCCAUCAGCCCAGAGCCCGACGCGGGGCUCAAACUCACAGACCGUGAGAUCGUGACCUGAGCCGAAGUCGGACGCUUAACCGACUGAGCCACCCAGGCGCCCCUCAAUUCUCUUAUUUAAAAAACAACAAACACACAGGCACAGUAAUUACAAAACAGAAACAUUCUUUAGUUACCUAGACCCUCUCUUUUGUCUUCUACCUUCAGAUAAUGUGUUUAAAAACAGUGCUGGGUUAACUGGUAGAAAAGAAAGCAAAUGCUCUCCUGAAUCACACUGAAAGAAUAUUAAAUUCCUUCAUCCUGUCAGGGUUAACAUCACAUUCAAGCACAUGACCAUGUGUGUUUGACAUAUUGUAGCUACAACGAUUAAAUCACAUGUUCACACUCUAAUGUUAAAAUCAUAGUUACAUUGAUGCUAAAAACUUUUUUUCAUUGAUAGUUAUAUCUUGACAUUAUUUUGAGACAAACGAAAAGUUCCCAAACCACAUAGAUUCCUUUCCCUCCCCAGCCUCUACCCCCUCCCACAUCCAAUGAACAAGAGAACUAUAGGAACAUAAGCCAUGAACUAAGGUAUCAAUGGCAAACAUGUUGGAUGCCAGUUCCAGGUUCAAGUGCUGCCGUCUCCAGUCCUGGCUUUUCGGGCCUUGAUCAUUGGCUUGGUUGCUCGUUUGCGGUCAGUGGCCAGUCCCAGCCAGCACAUGAGGUCAAUGAACCAAGUGGUUGGGUUGAAAUUUAAGCCAAAUUCACUCGCAGAGUAGUCAAAGGGAAAGGUGUGGUGGUAAUUGUGGAAGCCUUCACCUAGAAGACAAAGUGGGUAUUGAAAUAACCCCUCCCCACCUCUCUGCACAGAUUUAUUUUCCCCCCUCGUCUGCUGAGAGUCUACCAUGUGCAAGGCACUAUGUCAGGCUCUCUGGGCAGCAGAAGACUUGGUGUCUGCCCUUAGGAAGAAUUUACUUAGUUGGCUAGACUAAAUCUGAACAGAUUAAAAAAAAAAAAAAAAGGUUAUCAGCGCAGAGUCACAAGAUUAAUUUCCCUGUAUGAACAACUACCAUGAUUUCGGAGCUGUACUUAGUAAGCUCAAUGCUAAAUGACUGAUAACAGAUCCUCCUUUUGAUGUAUGUUCAUAAAAGGAAAAUAGCCUCUGUGGGCUGGAGUGAUUAAAGGAAGGCUUGUUGGGAGAGCCUGGAUGACCCAGAGGAGCCCUGUUCAGAUAGGUAAGUAAACUGAGGAGCUGGACUUUUACAUGUCCCAAAUCUGCCCAUAUAUUAUUCCACCACCACCCCCCACCUGCCCACCAGCGAAUAGCUUUUCCUCUCUUACUCUUUUUUUUAAAUUAAGGUGUUUUCAGGAGGGAUCUCAGGGAUUCUUUCAUUUGACUUUUUUAAACAGCUUUAUUGAGAUAUAAUUCACCAUAUAAUUCAUCCAUUUGAAGUACAAUUUAAUGCUUUUUAGUAUUUUCACAGAGUUGGGCAUCCAUCACCACGAUGAAUUUUAUAACACUUUCAUUACCUAAAAGGAAGCUCCACACUCCUGAACUGUCAUCCCCCAACCAUCCCCCCCCCAUCCCUCCGGCCCUACUUUCUUUCUCUGUCAUGGUUAAUUUUAUGUGUCAGACUGGCUGGCCGAGGCAUGCCCGGAUUAAACAUCUCUGUGUGGUGUGUCUGUGGGGGUGUUUCUGGAUGAGAUGAGCAUUUGAAUCAGUGAACUCAGUAAAGCAGAUUACCCUCGCCAGUGGGGGUGGGCAUCACUCAAUCCGUUAAGGGCCUGAACAGAACAAAUGGUGGAGGAAGAGGAAUUUGCCCGUUUUUUUCUGACUCACUGACUGAACUGGAUCUAUCUCUUCUUCCCUUGCCCUCAGACUGGGAUUUACAUCAUCUGCUCCCCUGGUUCUUGGGCCUCUGGACUCCAAUUUAAUCAUAUCACCGGCUUUCCUGAGUCUCCAGCUUGCAGACGGCAGAUUGUGGGAUUUCUCAGCUCCCCUAAUCAUGUGAGCCAGCUCCUCAUAAUAAAUCUCUCUCCCCUCCCCUCUUCCCCUCCCCCUCCCCUCCUUCUUUCCCUAUGCAUACACACACACACACACACACACAUACAUAUAUACAUAUGUGUAUAUAUGUAUACAUACAUAUAUAUACACACGAAACAGGAGGCUACCUAUUUAUGUCCUACAAAUAUAUACCUAUUUAUAUUUAUAUAGAUAUUGUACUGUUUCCCUAUAUAUACGGGGAUUUAUGAUGAGGAACAUAUAAUAUAUAUUACAAUAUAUAUAAAAACUGAAUAGUGUAUGUAUAACAUAUACAUACAUAUACAUACAUGUACUGAUUCUGUUUCUCUGGACAACCCUAAUAUAAUCUCUGUAGAUUUGCUUAUUCUGAUCAUUUCAUACAAACAAAAUCAUACAAUAUGUAGCCUUUUGUGACUAGCUGCUUUCACUUAGCAUCAUGCUUUCAAGGUUGUAGCAGAUAUCAGUACUUCAUUUCCUUUUAUUGCCAGAUAGUAUUCCGUUGUAUGGAUGUGCCAUACUGUAUUUAUCCAUCCAUCAAUUGACAGACUAUUGGAUUAUUUCUGCUUUUUGGCUAUUACGAAUAAUAUUGCUAUGGACAGUCAUAUACAAGUUUUUGUGUGGACAUACAUUUUUAUUUCUCUUUGUGUAUGAAUCUGGGAGUGGAGUUGUUGGAUCACAUGAUAACUAUUUUUAACCAUUUGAGGAACUGCCAGAUUUCUCCUUCACUUCUUAAAUAGGCCCUGGUCAUCAUGUAGUUCUUCUAUUGACCACAGCCGAAGGAUCUUGCUCUGUAAUGAAUAUAUCAGGUGGAUGGAACUGUGGUUUGCAGUUUUCUUUUUUUAAUUUUUUAUGUUUAUUCAUUUUUGAGAGAAAGAGAGAGGGAGAGAGAGAAAGAGAGAGACAGAGCAUGAGCAGGGGAGGGGCAGAGAGAGAGGGAGACAGAAUCUGAAGCAGGCUCCAGGCUCUGAGCUGUCAGCACAGUGCCCUACGUGGGGUUUGAACUCACAAACCGUGAGAUCAUGACCUGAACCCAAGUCCAACCGAUUGAGCCACCCAGGCGCCCCUGCAGUCUUCUUUUUAAUUUAGGUCUUCUUUACCCUGCUCCUUUCACCCUCAUAAUUUUUAGUGUUUUUCCUGCACUACAGUGUAGUAUAGAGGAGUCUCCCCUGCUAUUUUCAGAAGCAGACACUGUUCUGAGAACCUGUGCGUACCCGCCAUCUAUCACACAGUUCAGUGUAACGGGAGCCUUUCCAGGACCUUAAUGAAGAAAACUGACUAGGAGCCCCGUGUUGACCUGGGUGGACUUAAAACCAGUACCCAGCUCUUCAAGGCCAGUGCCAUGGUCACAUUCCUUGGGUUUUCUGGUCCACCAUCCCCACAUCAGAUGGUAACAGUCCAUCUUGUCCCCUUGCUGUCUGCUCUCAGGGUCAACACUGGAUAUGGCCCCCCUCACUGCAGUCCAGGAAGAAGUAGAAGCAUCAGAAACUCCUUCCAAGACACUUUUCUCUCUGCUUAGCUGGUUGGUCCCAUAGUUAAAUUUGGGUGCUUAUUCCACCUCAGAUUGCUGUUGUCAACACGGGGUCCGAGCCUAACAAUGUGGUGGGAGAAACUCUUUGCUAGGUGAUGCAGAGACCAUUGCUACUUAGCCACAGGGCCUUCCCUUCCUGGGGCCGAUCUCAAUGCUCAAGGCUCAGCUUACCAAGAAGCUUGAGUUACUUCUAGAAAGAUACAGCUAAUGUCCAUUUAUUACUUACUAUGUUUCAGCCACAGUGCUCAGUGCUUUAAUGGGUAUUAACACCUAUAGUCCUCAGAUCUCUGAGCUAGCUGCUAUGAUUCUCCCCAUUUUAAAAAUGAGGAUGUAAAUGUACAGAAGGGACAAGUAACUUCCUAAGACCUUAAGGCUAGUCACAAACUAAGCACUUAUUUCAUGCUAAGCACUGUUGCAAAGACUAUGUAUUAGCUCAUCUAACCCUUUGGUGACCCCAGGAAGCAGGUGAAUGCUAUGAUUAUCUUCACUUUACAGGAGAAGACACAAGGUGCGGAGGAGCCAGAUAACUCUCUCAGAGAGUAAGUGAAGGAACCAAGACUCAACCAAAGUUGUCAGAAUCCAGCGGCCUCGCUCCGAACCAUUCUGUGGCACCAUGAGAUGCCACACUCUUGUUUCUUCCCAUCUCUCUGAAGGCCUUUUUUCUUACAGUCGGUCAAAUGAUUGGACAGCUGAAUGGUCAGGGCAGUUUGAGAGAAAAGCCAGCUGCUACUCCUCCAUUAGGAAAAAUUUCACGGUAAAAAUAAAUAGCUCCUAAUUAUUGAUCACUUACUAUAUGACAGACAUUUUACUAAGCAGUUUACAUAUAGUAUCUAUCUUACAGCAUAUCUAUAUUGCAUAUAGCAGUUUACAUAUAGUAUCUAUCUUCAUAACAUCCCUAUGAAGUAAGCAUCACUCUUCCCAUUUCACAGAUGAGAAAACUCUAAAUCAGAAUGAUUAGGUGACUUGCCCAAGAACCAGGAUUCUAAUACCGAAGCCCAAGUUCAUCCCACCUGACUCCAUUCCACUGCCUCUCUUUACAGAGUCCAGAAAACCUUUGGAAGGUUAAGAAAAUCUGAGCUGCCAUGCUCCCCAUUGGCUCUCACACCCCUACUCACCAAUGGCACCCAGGGUGACGAGUGGGUUCUGCCGAGGGCUGAUGUGCUUGUCGUAGGGCCGGUUUCCAUACAUGUGGGCAGCACUGUUGACCAGCCAGCUGAUGUUGAGUGAGAUGGUAUAGCGGAGGAUGGAGGCCAAGAAAUAGGAGUUCCACAGACUCUCUUCCCAGGCACACCAGGGUACCAGCGUGGGGAUCACAAAGCACAUGAGCACCACAGUGAUCUUAUAGUACCUGGAAGGCAGGACAUUACACUACCAUCAGGCACCUGUUGAUGGUGGCAGAAAUGAGAUGAACAAGCUACAUACAGGAAAAGCCAGGAAUUGUGCCCAUCAAUUCCUUCAACUCUUUCUGGAUAAGAAGUACCCUGUUGUGUGUUGCUCUGUACAAGGGUCACAAACCCAUAUACCUACAAGGCAACACAAGUAACCCAAAUUUGAGAAUUAGGAUGGGUAGAAUGCUAUGGAAAGUAUGUAGCAUACUUCGGAAGAAUUUCAACAUAAAACAAUCCAUGCUGUGCUGGUGAAAUCCGGGUAUCUCAGAGCUACAUUUCUCCUAUAGGUCACCAGUUCGACAACUCCUAGCUACUUCUUUGACCAGUCAAUCAACUUGGUACUCAGGUUUUCUUUCCUAAAUGAUUUCAAGGAAUAUGUAUUUCUUGAAUAAUUUCCAGGCACAUUAUUUUGUACUAAUGUAGCCUGGUAAAAAGGUAAACAAUCCAAUCCCCUCUCAAAAAUGUUCUCUGUUCACUGGUGAUUACAUUCCAGGUCAGCAUAAAAAAUAAACAAUAGUAUAAGAACAAGCAUGACCACAUAAAAAGUAAUCUUUAAGAAGAAACCAUCAACAGUUUGAUUUCCAGACCUAUGUAUACAGGAAACAUUUACUGAGCACUUACUAUUUGCCACACCAUGAAUACUGAUGAUACAAAGACAAAUUCGACACAGUCCCUAUCCCAGGUUUCAGUCAGGUGGACCCACUGUUCCCCACCCGCUAGCCAUGUGGAACCAGCUCUAUGCAGGCACAGGAAAGGGACUGUGAUACGAGUUCAUAGCUCUUUCCUCCCUGGCCUCACACUGGCUAAUCGAGCUUCCAGAAGGCCAAUGUUAAGGUGCAUAUGUAUGAAAUGGGAGGUGGCAGUGUGAGGGAAUGUCAUUCAGGAGGUAGAAGACUUGAACUUGAGUCUAGAUCUGAUUCUGGAUGUUGUACAAGUCUUUUUUUUCCCUUUCACUCUCCUCUUAUGCACAGUUAGAUGAUUCCACAAAGAGCACAGCAUGAAGGCUUGUAUGUGGAUAGUCUAUUUUGGGAAGAGUGAGACAGGGAAGGAAGGAAUGCCAAGCCAGGGGUGCCCAUGCUUUGGACACCUGAACUUGGACCAUGAUGGGACAGAUUAUACCUCAGAGUUAUUCUCUCAAGGAAAGAAAGAAAGGAUAUUUUCCCAUUGGUUCCAACUCCCUCCUGGUCAAGGGAUGUCACAUGGGAUAUUAGCUCCCUCACCUUUCCACGUUUGCUCAGGUCAGAAUGGCUGAGUGCAUUUCUGGAAGCAUCUCAGGUGGAAGUGGCAAAGCAACCAGACAGGAAAUAAGAAAUAAGCAGUCCAGCUGAGCAAGGUGCUGUUGGUUACACCUGAGCCAGCAAGUGGCUGCAGCAACAGCUGGAAUGAAAAGAUGGGCAGAGAGUAGGAGGUGGGGCACAAGAGGUGUCCAACCCAGGUAGUAAUUAUAAUACCUCUAGGGGUCUUGUGAGGAUCUAAUAACUAAUGUAUACUAUGUGCAUAUUAUGUGUCACAGCUAUUCUGAGACCUUUCCAUGUACUGACUCAUUUAAUUCUAAUAAAAACUCUAGGAGGAAGCGACCAUUAUUAUCACCAUUCUACAUAGCAAUGGAAAGAUUAUGUAGCUGGGCAAGGUCACAAGACUAAGAAGUGGUAGGACCAAGAUUCAGAUCCAGGCAGAAACACUUCAGAGACUAUCAUGCUAUUCUGCUUUUGCAAAUGAAAUCAUGUGUGUAAGUGUGUUUUGCAGAUUGCUAGCUGCAUGUGUCAGUUCCCAUAAAAUUUGCUUCUCUUGGGCAACGUGUUAACCCAUCAGCACCCAUUUUCAAGUCACUGGGAUACAAGAUGGCUGAAUUUUAGCGGAAAGAGGGUACUUAGGAGGUCAGAUGAGUGGGCUAUGGCAACAGGCAAUGAAGGGAUUGGUGGUCUUAGAUUAGGCUCCCUAGAGUCACAUGCAGAAGGAUUUUGGAGACUGGUCGUGAGAGAUACUUGUAAGGAAGGGAGGAAGGCAGGUAGGACUGAGGCAGCUCAUCCACAAUGAGUUUCAGCAGAUCCAACAGGGAGCUCUAAAGGAUGACCCUUUAGAGUUGUCCCAAAUUGAAAGGUAUACCUGCAUCAUCCAGGCUUUGGCCUCAGGGUGCAGGGUGUAGGGCAGUUCCAUGUGGGCAAGGGCAAUUCCCAGAGAGGACAGUGGCUGUGAGGUGGGAGCAUCAGCUGAAGAGGGGAUCUGGGUAAAGCACGCAGAUACUGGGCAAGGCCCUGGGGAACUGGUGGUCAGCAUGUGGAGGGACGGGAGGAGGUGUUUUUAUGUUGUAAAGCAUUGUAGAAUGGUAAACUCCCCAACUUUGCCAUUUCCUACUGUGGUAUCUUGAGUAAAUUAUUUAAUUGCACCGAGCCCCAGGUUUCUCUUCUGUAAAACGUGGUAUUAACAAAUUUACUGAGUUCCCACUAUGUACCAGGUUCUGUCCUGGUACUAGAGAUAUAAAGUGAACAAAUCAGACAAAAUCCCUGCCCUUGGUGAGCAGGGGUAUUCUGGUAGGAAGAUUUGAUAAAUACAUGUAUUAUGUAUAUACCAUAUAAAAAUUUGCACAUAUGUAUAUUCUGGCAGGGGAGAGAGCUAAUAAACAAUAUAAAUAAAUAAUAUAUAAAACAUGUUAGUGUAAAUACUAAGAUAAAAAUAAAGCAGAGAAGGAGAAUAUGAAGCCAAGGGCAAGUGCUGAAAUUUAAAAUAGGGUGUUGAGGGAAGGACUUAGUGACAUUAUGGCUUUUGAGUAAAGAUAUGAAAGAAGUGAGAAGUUAACCAUGUGGCUAAAUGGGGCAGAAAUUUCCAGGCAGAGGAAACCACAAGUACAAAGGCCCUGCAGCAGGGUGUUCCUGGCAUAUUCAGGGACAAGCAAGAGAGUUGGGGCUGAAGCAGGUGAACGAAGGGGAGAAUGUAGAAAAUAAGAGAAAAAUGGUGGGUUGAGUCACAGAAGGUGUGAGAGAUCAUCAAAAGGGUUUCAACCUUUACUCUGAGUGAGAUGGAGCCUUGGGCAGGUUUGGACUGAAGGAGCAGGGUGACCUGACUUAUAGGUUAGCAGGGUCACCCCGAAUGUUGUGUUGAGAAUGGACUGUGGGAGGAGGGGCAGAAGCAGGGAGAGUAAUUAGGAGGCUGCCACAAAAUCCGGGCAGGAGAAGAUGUUGGCUUGGACCAGAAAAGGGGUGGUGGGUGUGAAAAAUAGUCAAAUUCUGGAUAUAUUUUGAAAAUAGAGUGACAGGACUUGUUACCAGACUGAAUGUUGGAGAGAAAGGAGUCAAGGAUGAUAUUAAGGAUGGAGAUGUCAUUAGCCAAUAGGAGGAAGCAUGGAGGGGGUGCUGGUUUCGAGCAGCAUAUGAGAAGCUAGAUCUUACACAUGUCAGGUGGGAAAUGCCCACUACACAUUCAAGGGGCGAGGUCAAGUAGACAGCUUGAUAUUCAGGUCUGGAGAUCAGAGGGUGCUCUAGAGAGAGGUUUGACAGGAACAGAAAUUUGGAAUUCAUUAGCAUAUUAAUGUAUGACACUCACAUACAAACAUUUUUUUCAUCUGAGUUCCACAAUAGCCUUGUGAGAUAUCUAUCUAUCUAUCUAUCUAUCUAUCUAUCUAUCUAUCUAUUAUUUAUUUACUUUUAAAUUUUAUUUAAAUCCAAAUUAGUUAACAUACAGUGUAGUACUGGUUUCAGGAGUAGAACCCAGUGAUUUAUCACUUACCUAUAACACCCAGUGCUCAUCCCAACAAGUGCCCUCCUUAAUGCCCAUCACCCAUUUUAGCCCAUCUCACCACCCAAGGUGGAAGUUCCUCCAUCCCUGUAAGGAACUUAUUUAUUUGUAGGACAUUUCUGGAGCUCCAGAGAGGUCAUGGGACUUCCUCAAGGUCAUACUGGUUGUACAAAGCAUAGGCAUCUUGCUACUUACUUGGCUUACCAAGAACAGGACACAGGGGAUGGGUAAACUUACCCAGAAGUAAACCAGGCCAGAGUGUGGAAUCUGGCCAUUGUCCUAAGAGUUACACAUAUUUGAGUAAAGAUACUACAUUCCAGCUGGACUGAACUUCUUCCCAUUCCUCAGGAACCACCUUUUCUAUGUCCCCUGUGUCUAUGACACUCUUGGCCUGGCUUACUUGAUGUUUCCAAAUAUCAGUCUAAACAUCACUUCCUCUGGGGGGAAUUUCCUCCGUCCACCAGAGCAGGCAGGGUGCCCCUACCCAGUGUUCCUGUUGCAUGUUGUACUUCUCAGCUUCAUACUUGCUGGUGUAGUAAGUGGUUUGAGGUGAGGCCUCAGCCAUGAAUGCACAUUUGAAUCAACCAGGUGAACAUUUAAAAAUGACUGAUGUGGGAACCCACGGCAGACCAGCUCAAUCGAAUCAGAAUUUCUGUUCUGGACAUUGAUAUUUUUAAAGUCUCUCCAUUGCAGACAGACAUUGACGGUAGCCUCCCUAUAAUCCACCCCCAUCCUUUCUUUCUUGUUGGAAUAUCCUGAUUUUGUUCAGAUAUUGAGCUGUUCUCCCUGCAGCCAUGUCUUUCAGGGAAUGUGGACUCUACCCAGGACGUGAGUCCUGAUUGGCUUGGAGCAAUCAGUGGUGAUCUCAUUCACCUUCCCAAUAAUUAAUUUGGGAAUUAGCCAAUAGCGGUCAAUAAGAUAUAGGGGAAAUGGGUAUAAUUUUUUUAAAGGGAAAUAACAAAUGUUGGUAAAGAUGUAGAGAAAUUGGAACCUUUAUGCAUUGCUGGUAGGAAUGCCAAAUGACGCAGCUGCUAUAGAAAACAGUUUCUCAAAAGGUUAAACAUCGAAUUAUCAUACGACCCAGUGAUUCAACUCCUAGGUAUAUGUUCAGAAGAAUGCGAAGCAGGGAUUUCAACAUAUAUCUGUACACUAAUGUUCAUAGAAGCGUUAUCCAGACUAGCCAAAAGGUGGAAACAGGCCAAGUUUCCAUUAAUAGAUGAGUAGAUAAACAAAAUGUUAUAUAUAUGUAUACACAAUGGAAUAUUAUUCCACCAUAAAAAGGAACAAAGUUUUCAUAUAUGCUAUAACAUGCAUGGAUGGAUGGACCUUGGAAACAUGUUUAGGGAAAUAAACUAGACACAGAGGACAGAUACUGUUAUAAUUCCACUUAUAUGAGGUACCUAGAAUAGGCAAAUUCAUGAAGACAGAAAAUAGAGUAGAUGUUCCUAGGAGCUGGAAGGAAGGGGAUGGAGAAAGGGAAGUCCCUGUUUCAUGGGUAUGGAGUUUUUGUGGGGAAUGAUGAAAAAAUUUGGGGUAUAGAUAUCACUGAUGGUUAUACAACAUUGUGAAUGUACUUAAUGCCACAGAAUUGUACACUUAUGGUUAAAACAAUAAAUACUAUGUUGUGUAUAUUUCACCACAAUAAAAAAGAGCGAGAUGAGGGAGUGUUUUCUUAACCACAGAAAGAACACAUGGGCAGAGAUGGACUCUCUUUUUUCACAGUGACACCAGGACCUACUACAGCCAUCUGUGACCGUGAACAAAGACCAGGAAGAAGACUGAAAAACAAAGCAAACCCCUUAGGCUGACAGAGCAGAAAGAUGGAAAGGUUCCUUGAAUGAGCCACGGAACCAAGGAACCCCAGAGUGGUUUUAUCCCCGAUGUUCUUAUUCUGGAACGAGCCAGCUGAGUCGGGACCUUCUGUGGGGUAGCUGAACGCAUUUUAGUAUCUGUAGUGGACACUCAUGCCAUCUGGAUCUCCUUUCAGUUGAGAGUCGCUGGCCGUGCUGCCUCUGCUAGAAAGAGCCGUCCUGCCCUAGGUCACGCCCUCUCCUAACAACCCUAUCCAGUGACUAACCUUACAUAAGGGGAGUAGUCCAUUGCCCAGGCCUGAUCCCACUGCUUCACCUCUCAAUGACUCUAAAUGUCACCCCAACUUCAGAGCCCACAGUAAGGUAGGCCGAGGCCUUUGUUGGGACCAAUCGGGGCCCAGAUUCUUCCUUUGCCCAAUCCCGUAUCCAUCACCUCUUCCACAGGUGUUGACCCCAAAGACUCUCUCCAUUACACUUCUUGUGAUGUAAUAUCCACCUCAGAGCCAGCUUCUGAGGUAACCUGCCCUGCGACAUGGAUACACUGCUGGGCCAGCAGAGUCCAGCAAAAAGGCACGCUCCAGAGCCUAGCACA